RNAcentral lists this ribosomal RNA (500 nucleotides) under uncultured bacterium. Its description in RNAcentral is "bacterial SSU rRNA". It matches the Rfam family "Bacterial small subunit ribosomal RNA", at positions 29 to 516 of the family's 1533-position model. The record is from RNAcentral.
AACGAACGCUGGCGGCGUGGAUAAGACAUGCAAGUCGAACGGGAUCAUUGAGGUAGCAAUAUCGCGAUGGUCUAGUGGCGAACGGGUGCGUAACACGUGGAUACAUUCCGGGAAGCGGGGGAUAGCCCAGGGAAACUUGGAUUAAUACCGCAUGUGGUCGAAAGACUAAAGGCAGGGACCGCAAGGCCUGCCACUUCCCGAUUGGUCCGCGGCCUAUCAGCUAGUUGGCGGGGUAAAAGCCCACCAAGGCUACGACGGGUAGCUGGUCUUAGAGGACGACCAGCCACACUGGAACUGAGACACGGUCCAGACACCUACGGGUGGCAGCAGUCGAGAAUCUUUCACAAUGGGGGGCAACCCUGAUGGAGCGACGCCGCGUGGAGGAUAAGGUCUUCGGAUUGUAAACUCCUGUCAUGUGUGAACAAGGCUGCCGUGUUAAUAGCAUGGCAGAUUGAUGGUAACACAAGAGGAAGAGACGGCUAAACUCUGUGCCAGCAGCC